RNAcentral lists this ribosomal RNA (460 nucleotides) under uncultured bacterium. RNAcentral's name for it is "partial 16S ribosomal RNA". It matches the Rfam family "Bacterial small subunit ribosomal RNA", at positions 338 to 795 of the family's 1533-position model. The record is from RNAcentral.
CCUACGGGUGGCAGCAGUGAGGAAUAUUGGUCAAUGGCCGGAAGGCUGAACCAGCCAAGUCGCGUGAGGGAAUAAGGCCCUAUGGGUCGUAAACCUCUUUUGUCAGGGAGCAAAGGCGUCCACGUGUGGACGAGAGGAGAGUACCUGAAGAAAAAGCAUCGGCUAACUCCGUGCCAGCAGCCGCGGUAAUACGGAGGAUGCGAGCGUUAUCCGGAUUUAUUGGGUUUAAAGGGUGCGUAGGCGGAGUGUCAAGUCAGCGGUAAAAUUUCGGGGCUCAACCCCGACGAGCCGUUGAAACUGGCUUGCUAGAGUGGGCGAGAAGUAUGCGGAAUGCGUGGUGUAGCGGUGAAGUGCAUAGAUAUCACGCAGAACUCCGAUUGCGAAGGCAGCAUACCGGCGCCCAACUGACGCUCAGGCACGAAAGCGUGGGUAUCGAACAGGAUUAGAUACCCGGGUAGUC